UGGUCAAUACCGUUAACGUAAAUUUCGUCUAAUUAAUAUUUUGUGUCAUUUUCAUUUUUUUUUUUUUUUAGUAUAUCUAAUAACUAAGAUAUAUGCAGUACAGGAUCUCUUCGUGUACUUCUGUUUUUGUACUGCAAAAACUCUGCUAAGCUAAAUAUAUAUAUAAUGUAAGAACCGAGCAAAACCCCAUGCGAUGCUGCAUGAUGUGCAUGUCGUCGAACAACAAUACCCUUAGUUAAUCCCUUAUUCAUUGCUCUAAGCGACUUUCGAUCUCCGGCCAACAUCUUCCGAGUUCUUAAUUUCGUACGUAUGUAUAUAUAUGUUUUCCUGUGUAGAAUAGAAAGCCGGUGGGAGGAGUACUAAAUCAUUUGGUUACGUCGACGGAUCGGAGCUAGCGUUAAAGUCAACACGCACAAAAUGUAAGAUUGCCGGAAAAACAGGUCGAUCAUUCAAGCUGGUCAUCAUGACAAAAGCAUGUGAAUUAAUUACAGUACGUACCAUCCAAGCUGUCCAAUAUGGCCCACUGCUCUUUCUUCUACUUUUCCAUAUUUUCCUCUGCAACGUGGUCCGCGUCGACAGAUGGCUCAAAUAUUCUCCGAUUCUUUUAAUUAUCAUCAUCUCUUGUUAAAAGAUAAGUCAAAUCGCCAUAGCUGUCAAUGAAUAUCCCUCCGAAUUAGUAUAUCUGUAUUGAGAAAUACUAAAGCUACGUUUGUAUCGAAUGUGUA
Long non-coding RNA from Carya illinoinensis, 725 nucleotides. RefSeq lists it as uncharacterized. Lineage: Eukaryota; Viridiplantae; Streptophyta; Magnoliopsida; Fagales; Juglandaceae. The record is from RefSeq and is a predicted model, not a curated record. The transcript is spliced from 2 exons.